GGGGGGAAAAAUUAAUAAAUUUAAUAAUAAUAAAAAGAUUUUUAAAUAUAAGAUAUUUUAAUGGGGGUUAAAGUAUAUUAAAUAGAAAAAAUUGAAAAUUUUAUAGUGGAUAAGUAUUGUGAAAGAAUUUUGAAAUAAAUUAAAUAAUAAAUUAUUUUAAAGUAAUUUUAAUUUAAUGUAUCUUGUGUAUCAGAGUUUAUUAAAAAAUAUUUUUAGUAAAAAAGUUCUCGAAUUUAAAAGAGAUAAUUAAUUAAUAAAAUUAUUGUAGCAAAAAUAUUUUAAAUAAUUAAUUGGAAAUGAAAUGUUAAUCGUUUUUAAAUAUAUCUAGUUUUUAUAGAAAAAAAUUUAAUUUUAAAUUUAUAAUAUUAAUAAAUUUAUUAAUAAAUUUAUUAAUAUUAUAAAUUUUAUAUUUUAAGGGAUAAGCUUUAAAUUAAAUUUGUAUAAGAAAAAUUUUAAUUUUAAAAUUUUUAUAAUUUAUAUUGUUAAUAAAAUUUAAUUUAUUAUAAAUAAUUUUAAAUUAAAUAAAAUUUAAAUUUUAAUUACUUUUUUAUAUAAAAAUAAAUUUAUAAUAAUAAUAUAAUUAAAUAUAAUGAUAAAAUUAGUAUAUUUUUUAAAUAAAAAAUAUUGAAAAAAUAUAAUUAAAUAUUGAAUUUAAAUUAAAGGAAUUCGGCAAAAAUAUAUAUUCACUUGUUUAUCAAAAACAUGUCUUUUUGAAAUAAUUUAAAGUCUAAUCUGCCCACUGAUUUAUUAAAGGGCUGCAGUAUUUUGACUGUACAAAGGUAGCAUAAUCAUUAGUCAUUUAAUUGAUGACUUGUAUGAAAGAUUGGAUGAAAUAUAAACUGUCUAAAAUUUAUACAUGUAGAAUUUAAUUUUUUAGUUAAAAAGCUAAAAUAUUAUAAAAAGACGAGAAGACCCUAUAGAGUUUUAUAUUUUAAUAAAUUAAGAUUAUUUAUAAAUUUAAUUAAUAAAUUUAAGAGUUUAUUAAAUUAAAAAAAAUUAAAAUAUUUUAUUGGGGGGAGAAAAAAAAAUAAAUAACUUUUUUUUUUAUAAAUAACACAAAUAAAUGAAUAAUUGAUCCCCUUUUUAUGAUUAAAAGAAUAAAUUACCCUUGGGAUAACAGCGUAAUUUUUUUUUUUAGUUCAAAUAAAAAAAAGAGUGUGCGACCUCGAUGUUGGAUUAAGAUAAAAUUUAAAUGCACAAGUUUAAAAUUUUGAUCUGUGCGGUCACUAAAAUCUCACAUGAUCUGAGUUCAAACCGGUGUAAGCCAGGUUGGUUUCUAUCUUUUAAAAAUUUAAAUAUUUUAGUACGAAAGGAUCAAAUAUUUUAAUUAAAUUAUAAUUGAUGUGAAUUUUAUUAAAAUUUUAUAAAAUUUUUUAUUUUGUUAAGUUUUAUGUAGUUAAAUUUUAUAAUAAAAAUUAUUUAAAUAUAUAUAUAUAUAUAUAUAUAUAUAUAAUUUUAAUUAAUAAUAAUAAAUAAAUUUA
RNAcentral lists this ribosomal RNA (1481 nucleotides) under Clostera anachoreta. RNAcentral's name for it is "16S ribosomal RNA". Lineage: Eukaryota; Metazoa; Arthropoda; Insecta; Lepidoptera; Notodontidae. The record is from RNAcentral.